Molecule: unclassified non-coding RNA, 197 nt
Filed under: plant metagenome
Description: partial contains small subunit ribosomal RNA, internal transcribed spacer 1, and 5.8S ribosomal RNA
Source: RNAcentral
UUUCCGUAGGUGAACCAGCGGAGGGAUCAUUACCGAGUGCAAACUCAUAACCCUUUGUGAACCUAUAUCUGUUGCUUCGGCGGCUCGCUCUCGGGCGAGCCCGCCGGUAAUAUCAGUAUCUCUGUUUGAACCCGACGAUACUUCUGAGUGUUCUUAGCGAACAGUUAAAACUUUUAACAACGGAUCUCUUGGCUCUA